This 86-nucleotide transfer RNA is filed under the name Ignavibacteria bacterium. RNAcentral describes it as "tRNA-Ser". It matches the Rfam family "tRNA". Rfam says of the family: Transfer RNA (tRNA) molecules are approximately 80 nucleotides in length. Their secondary structure includes four short double-helical elements and three loops (D, anti-codon, and T loops). Lineage: Bacteria; Pseudomonadati; Ignavibacteriota; Ignavibacteria. The record is from RNAcentral.
GGAGGGUUGGCAGAAUGGCUAAUGCACCGGUCUUGAAAACCGGCUCCGCUACAAGCGGAUUGGGGGUUCGAGUCCCUCACCCUCCG